This 253-nucleotide ribosomal RNA is filed under the name uncultured bacterium. RNAcentral's name for it is "partial 16S ribosomal RNA". It matches the Rfam family "Bacterial small subunit ribosomal RNA", at positions 524 to 776 of the family's 1533-position model. The record is from RNAcentral.
UACGGAGGGUGCAAGCGUUGCUCGGAAUUAUUGGGCGUAAAGAGCUCGUAGGCGGUUUGUCGCGUCGACUGUGAAAACCUGGGGCUUAACUCUGGGCCUGCAGUCGAUACGGGCAGACUUGAGUUCGGUAGGGGAGACUGGAAUUCCUGGUGUAGCGGUGAAAUGCGCAGAUAUCAGGAGGAACACCGGUGGCGAAGGCGGGUCUCUGGGCCGAUACUGACGCUGAGGAGCGAAAGCGUGGGGAGCGAACAGG